GGAACAGCCAAUGCAAAUGUCCCAGGUUGGGAGCACCGCUGGUCAGGAAGCCCGGGCUGAGUUUCAAGUGUUUUCUUAAGGCUUCAUGGGUGAUUCUGAUGCAUGGCCAACGUGGAAGUCUCCUGAAACUCUGUUUCUAUCCAGAAACUAAGAGGAGCAGAUGGACCCAAACUUCUUCUGAUUGGAAGAUGGUCUUUUUGUCUUCAGUGUCGCCUCGCCCAUGUUUUCUUAUCUCCUAACUCAGUUCCUUUUCUCUACCCAUCCUUCACAUUUAUGUAAACUGUUGGGUAAUGUGAAC
Molecule: long non-coding RNA, 298 nt
Filed under: Mustela putorius furo (domestic ferret)
Lineage: Eukaryota; Metazoa; Chordata; Mammalia; Carnivora; Mustelidae
Description: lncRNA (ENSMPUG00000029999.1)
Source: RNAcentral